CAAUUUAAACAACGAAGAGUUUGAUCCUGGCUCAGGAUGAACGCUAGCGACAGGCUUAACACAUGCAAGUCGAGGGGCAGCACGGUGUAGCAAUACAUUGGUGGCGACCGGCGCACGGGUGAGUAACGCGUAUGCAACCUACCUAUCAGAGGGGAAUAACCCGGCGAAAGUCGGACUAAUACCGCAUAAAACAGGGGUUCCACAUGGAAAUA
This 212-nucleotide ribosomal RNA is filed under the name Parabacteroides sp. P14. RNAcentral describes it as "partial 16S ribosomal RNA". It matches the Rfam family "Bacterial small subunit ribosomal RNA", at positions 1 to 198 of the family's 1533-position model. Lineage: Bacteria; Pseudomonadati; Bacteroidota; Bacteroidia; Bacteroidales; Tannerellaceae. The record is from RNAcentral.